This 497-nucleotide ribosomal RNA is filed under the name uncultured bacterium. Its description in RNAcentral is "partial 16S ribosomal RNA". It matches the Rfam family "Bacterial small subunit ribosomal RNA", at positions 28 to 507 of the family's 1533-position model. The record is from RNAcentral.
GAUGAACGCUGGCGGCGUGCCUAAUACAUGCAAGUCGAGCGAACAGACGAGGAGCUUGCUCCUCUGACGUUAGCGGCGGACGGGUGAGUAACACGUGGAUAACCUACCUAUAAGACUGGGAUAACUUCGGGAAACCGGAGCUAAUACCGGAUAACAUGUUGAACCGCAUGGUUCAACAGUGAAAGACGGUCUUGCUGUCACUUAUAGAUGGAUCCGCGCCGCAUUAGCUAGUUGGUAAGGUAACGGCUUACCAAGGCAACGAUGCGUAGCCGACCUGAGAGGGUGAUCGGCCACACUGGAACUGAGACACGGUCCAGACUCCUACGGGAGGCAGCAGUAGGGAAUCUUCCGCAAUGGGCGAAAUCCUGACGGAGCAACGCCGCGUGAGUGAAGAAGGUCUUCGGAUCGUAAAACUCUGUUAUUAGGGAAGAACAAAUGUGUAAGUAACUAUGCACGUCUUGGCGGUACCUAAUCAGAAAGCCACGGCUAACUACGUG